UGGAUCCCUCCGAUCAGUCGGUUGUGAGGUAACGGCUCACCCAACCCGUAUUCGGUACUGGUAGUGAGGGCAGCACGGGUAUGGCACCCAGACAAGGACCCCGUAUGUAUCGGACGCGUCGGCGCGUAAUUUUGUCAUAAAAGCAAUCUGUGAGAGUUAUUAUUGAUUGUAGUAUUGAAGAAAUUUUUUCGCACCUAUAAAGAUGGAGAAUAAUACAGGGGCAACAAGGGUUCAGACCCCGCGGUAAUACCCCCACCCCCAGUGGUCCCGGUGAUUAUUGUGCGUAAAAAAUCGGUAUAAAAGGCUACAAGUCAACCUUUAAAUCCACCUCCUUAACAGAUGGGCUGCGGAGGAUACUAUAGGGCUAGGAGGCGGGAGAGGCAAACGGGCUUAAUGGGUAGGGGUAAAAUCCGUUUAUCCAUUGAAGACCACCCAGGGCGAAGGGGGGUUGCCCGAACGCCCUUGCCGGUGAGGGAUGAAAGCUGGGGGAGCAAACCGGAUUAGAUACCCGGGUAGUCCCAGCUGUAAAAGAUGCAGCUUCGGUGAUGAAUAGGCUUCGUGCCUAUUCAGUGCCGCAGGGAAGCCGUUAAGUCUGCCGCUUGGGGAGUAUGGUCGCAAGACUGAAACUUAAAGGAAUUGGCGGGGGAGCACCACAAGGGGUGAAGCCUGCGGUUCAAUUGGAGUCACCGCCGGA
This 694-nucleotide ribosomal RNA is filed under the name uncultured archaeon. RNAcentral's name for it is "bacterial SSU rRNA". It matches the Rfam family "Archaeal small subunit ribosomal RNA", at positions 212 to 922 of the family's 1478-position model. The record is from RNAcentral.